GGGGCUGCAAUGGUUUCGACGGGGGUGGUGAAGUGGGAUAAGCGGGUAGAGGACCGCACACUCUUUAAACGGCGGACGUUUUAAAAUUAAACGACGAAACUAAUUUUGAAUUAGCUGCUGCUUAAGUCAGCGCUCGUCGGGCCUUUGAGUACCACGGCUUAGGUCUCGGCGUCGAUUAUGUGGUGAACGUGCAGAGGGUACGCCCGUAGCCUUUGUAUGUAUACCGGGCUACCAAAGAACACAGCGUGUCUGCUUGCUGUGUCGGCGGGAACUGCCGCAAGGCGCAAUAACAGACUACACCCGUAGAAAGUCGCAGGGAUCUGCUUUCGGACACGAGUUCGAUUCUCGUCAGCUCCACCA
This 360-nucleotide transfer-messenger RNA is filed under the name Oscillospiraceae. RNAcentral describes it as "Ruminococcus_D sp902787365 Standard tmRNA". It matches the Rfam family "transfer-messenger RNA". Rfam says of the family: Bacterial tmRNA, also known as 10Sa RNA or SsrA, is named for its dual tRNA and mRNA-like properties. Its role is to liberate the mRNA from a stalled ribosome. RNAcentral also lists the same sequence under 1 other name. Lineage: Bacteria; Bacillati; Bacillota; Clostridia; Eubacteriales. The record is from RNAcentral.